This 497-nucleotide ribosomal RNA is filed under the name uncultured bacterium. Its description in RNAcentral is "partial 16S ribosomal RNA". It matches the Rfam family "Bacterial small subunit ribosomal RNA", at positions 28 to 507 of the family's 1533-position model. The record is from RNAcentral.
GAUGAACGCUGGCGGCGUGCCUAAUACAUGCAAGUCGAGCGAACGGAUGAGGAGCUUGCUCCUCUGACGUUAGCGGCGGACGGGUGAGUAACACGUGGAUAACCUACCUAUAAGACUGGGAUAACUUCGGGAAACCGGAGCUAAUACCGGAUAAUAUAUUGAACCGCAUGGUUCAAUAGUGAAAGACGGUUUUGCUGUCACUUAUAGAUGGAUCCGCGCCGCAUUAGCUAGUUGGUAAGGUAACGGCUUACCAAGGCAACGAUGCGUAGCCGACCUGAGAGGGUGAUCGGCCACACUGGAACUGAGACACGGUCCAGACUCCUACGGGAGGCAGCAGUAGGGAAUCUUCCGCAAUGGGCGAAAGCCUGACGGAGCAACGCCGCGUGAGUGAUGAAGGUCUUCGGAUCGUAAAACUCUGUUAUUAGGGAAGAACAAAUGUGUAAGUAACUAUGCACGUCUUGACGGUACCUAAUCAGAAAGCCACGGCUAACUACGUG